CCUACGGGAGGCAGCAGUGGGGAAUUUUCCGCAAUGGGCGAAAGCCUGACGGAGCAAUACCGCGUGAGGGAGGAAGGCUCUUGGGUUGUAAACCUCUUUUCUCAGGGAAGAAUUCAAUGACGGUACCUGAGGAAUAAGCAUCGGCUAACUCCGUGCCAGCAGCCGCGGUAAUACGGAGGAUGCAAGCGUUAUCCGGAAUGAUUGGGCGUAAAGCGUCCGCAGGUGGCAUUGCAAGUCUGCUGUCAAAGGUCAGGGCUUAACCCUGAAAAGGCAGUGGAAACUGAAAUGCUGGAGUGCGGUAGGGGUAGAGGGAAUUCCCGGUGUAGCGGUGAAAUGCGUAGAGAUCGGGAAGAACACCAGUGGCGAAGGCGCUCUACUAGGCCGCAACUGACACUCAUGGACGAAAGCUAGGGGAGCGAAUGGGAUUAGAUACCCCAGUAGUCCUAGCUGUAAACGAUGGAAACUAGGCGUUGAGAGUAUCGACCCUCUCAGUGUCGUAGCUAACGCGUUAAGUUCCCGGCCUGGGGAGCGGCCAACGGGGG
RNAcentral lists this ribosomal RNA (542 nucleotides) under uncultured cyanobacterium. RNAcentral describes it as "bacterial SSU rRNA". It matches the Rfam family "Bacterial small subunit ribosomal RNA", at positions 338 to 873 of the family's 1533-position model. RNAcentral also lists the same sequence under 1 other name. Lineage: Bacteria; Bacillati; Cyanobacteriota. The record is from RNAcentral.